AUGGGGCACGGAGCCAGCUGCGGCCGCCCCAGCGAGGAGGUGGACUUCUUCGGCGCGGCACAGUCCGGCGACCUCGCCCGCCUCUCCGCCGCCGUCAGCUCCCGCCCCUCCCUCCUCCGCCGCACCACGCUCUUCGACCGCCUCUCCGCGCUCCACAUCGCCGCCGCCCACGGCCACCUCCAAGUGGUCUCCAUGGCAUUGGAUCUUUGCGUGGAGCCGGACGCCGUGAACCGCCACAAGCAGACGGCGCUGAUGCUCGCGGCGAUGCACGGGAGGACCGAGUGCGUGCGGCGGUUGCUCGACGCCGGCGCCAAUAUCCUGAUGUUCGAUUCGUCGCACGGGCGGACGUGCCUGCACUACGCGGCGUACUACGGCCACUCAGACUGCCUCCGGGCCAUCCUGACGGCGGCGCGGACCGCGCCGGUGUCGCAAUCCUGGGGAUACGCGCGGUUCGUGAAUGUGCGGGACGACACCGGAGCGACGCCGUUGCACCUGGCGGCGAGGCAGGGCUGGCGCCGCUGCGUCCACGUCCUGCUGGAGAACGGCGCCAUCGUGUCCGCCUCCAGCGGCGCCUUCGGAUUCCCCGGGAGCACGCCGCUGCAUUUGGCCGCGCGCGGCGGGAGCCUCGACUGCGUUCGCCAGCUGCUCUCCUGGGGCGCCGACCGCCUCCAGCGCGACUCCGUCGGGAGAAUUCCAUAUGAGGUGGCGGUGAAGCGAGGGCAUGUGGCGUGCGCGGCGCUGCUGAACCCGUCAUCGGCAGAGCCCCUAGUGUGGCCUUCGCCUCUCAAGUUCAUCAGCGAGCUGGAGCCUGACGCCAAGGCUCUCCUGGAGGCAGCCCUGAUGGAGGCCAAUCGGGAGAGGGAGAAGAGGAUCCUCAAAGGGGCCAAGAAUUCAUUGCCAUCGCCGUCGCGUUCAGAUGACGGUGCCACCGUCUCCGAGGUCGUGCAGGGCGGCGAGGUGUGCAGCAUCUGCUUCGACCAGGCGUGCGCGAUCGAGGUCCGGGAGUGCGGGCACCAGAUGUGCGCGGCGUGCACGCUGGCGCUCUGCUGCCACGCCAAGCCCAACCCGGCCACGCAGAGCCAGCCGCUGCCCACAUGCCCCUUCUGCCGCGGCGGCAUCACCCGGCUGGCGGUGGCCACCAGGGCCAAGGCCGGCGACGACGACGACGAGGAGGAAGGAGCAGAAGGCAGGCUGGAGUCUCCGCGGCACCGGCGGUCUCGCCGGUCCCUGAACCUCAGCGGCGGCGGCGACGGGGGCAGCAGCAGCAGCAGCCUCAUGGGCAGCAUCGCCUCGUCCAUCGGCAAGAUGGGCCGGCGCAAAACCGACAGCAGCGAGCUGCAGGUGCAGCUCGACGACAAGCCAUAG
This 1365-nucleotide ribosomal RNA is filed under the name Triticum aestivum (bread wheat). RNAcentral describes it as "partial small subunit ribosomal RNA". Lineage: Eukaryota; Viridiplantae; Streptophyta; Magnoliopsida; Poales; Poaceae. The record is from RNAcentral.